UACGUAGGUGGCAAGCGUUGUCCGGAUUUAUUGGGUUUAAAGGGUGCGUAGGCGGCUUUGUAAGUCAGUGGUGAAAUAUGGCAGCUCAACUGUCAGGGUGCCAUUGAUACUGCAGAGCUUGAGUACAGAUGAGGUAGGCGGAAUUGGCGGUGUAGCGGUGAAAUGCUUAGAUAUCGUCAAGAACACCGAUAGCGAAGGCAGCUUACUGGGCUGUAACUGACGCUGAGGCACGAAAGUGUGGGGAUCAAACAGG
RNAcentral lists this ribosomal RNA (253 nucleotides) under uncultured bacterium. RNAcentral's name for it is "partial 16S ribosomal RNA". It matches the Rfam family "Bacterial small subunit ribosomal RNA", at positions 524 to 776 of the family's 1533-position model. The record is from RNAcentral.